Molecule: ribosomal RNA, 549 nt
Filed under: uncultured bacterium
Lineage: Bacteria
Description: partial 16S ribosomal RNA
Rfam family: Bacterial small subunit ribosomal RNA
Source: RNAcentral
UGGGGAAUUUUGGACAAUGGGCGCAAGCCUGAUCCAGCCAUGCCGCGUGCGGGAAGAAGGCCUUCGGGUUGUAAACCGCUUUUGUCAGGGAAGAAAUCUUCUGAGUUAAUACCUCGGGAGGAUGACGGUACCUGAAGAAUAAGCACCGGCUAACUACGUGCCAGCAGCCGCGGUAAUACGUAGGGUGCAAGCGUUAAUCGGAAUUACUGGGCGUAAAGCGCGCGCAGGCGGUUUUGUAAGACAGAGGUGAAAUCCCCGGGCUCAACCUGGGAACUGCCUUUGUGACUGCAAGGCUUGAGUGCGGCAGAGGGGGAUGGAAUUCCGCGUGUAGCAGUGAAAUGCGUAGAUAUGCGGAGGAACACCGAUGGCGAAGGCAAUCCCCUGGGCCUGCACUGACGCUCAUGCACGAAAGCGUGGGGAGCAAACAGGAUUAGAUACCCUGGUAGUCCACGCCCUAAAACGAUGUCAACUGGUUGUUGGGAAGGUUCCUUCUCAGUAACGUAGCUAACGCGUGAAGUUGACCGCCUGGGGAGUACGGCCGCAAGGUUG